This 492-nucleotide ribosomal RNA is filed under the name uncultured bacterium. RNAcentral's name for it is "partial 16S ribosomal RNA". It matches the Rfam family "Bacterial small subunit ribosomal RNA", at positions 29 to 507 of the family's 1533-position model. The record is from RNAcentral.
AGUGAACGCUGGCGGUAGGCCUAACACAUGCAAGUCGAACGGCAGCACCGUAAGAGCUUGCUCUUACGGGUGGCGCGUGGCGGACGGGUGCGGAAUACAUCGGAAUCUACUUUUUCGUGGGGGCUAACGUAGGGAAACUUACGCUCAUACCGCAUACGCCCUACGGGUGAAAGCAGGGGAUCUUCGGACCUUGCGCGAUUGAAUGAGCCGAUGUCGGAUUAGCUAGUUGGCGGGGUGAAGGCCCACCAAGGCGCCGAUCCGUAGCUGGUCUGAGAGGAUGAUCAGCCACAAUGGAACUGAGACGCGGUCCAGAAGACUACGGGAGGAAGCAGUGGGGAAGAGUGGACAAUGGGGGGAAGCCUGAUCCAGCCACACCGCGUGGGUGAAGAAGGCGUUCGGGGUGUAAAGACCUUUUGUUGGGAAAGAAAAGCAGCAGGUUAUUACCCCGCGGUUCUGACGGAGCCCAAAGAAGAAGCACCGGCUAACUACGUG